GAUGAACGCUGGCGGCGUGCCUAAUGCAUGCAAGUCGAGCGACGCAUGUUCAGUCCGUAAGGACAGAGCAUGACGGAGCGGCGAACGGGUGAGUAACACGUGAGCAACCUGCCCCACAGACCGGGAUAGCCCAGGGAAACCUGGAUUAAUACCAGAUGCCCUCGGAAGAUCGCAUGAUCGUCCGAGGAAAUGCCUUUGUGCUGUGGGAUGGGCUCGCGACCUAUCAGCUAGUUGGUGGGGUAAAGGCCUACCAAGGCAUCGACGGGUAGCUGGUCUGAGAGGACGAUCAGCCACACUGGGACUGAGACACGGCCCAGACUCCUACGGGAGGCAGCAGCAGGGAAUCUUGCGCAAUGGGCGAAAGCCUGACGCAGCAACGCCGCGUGGGGGAUGAAGGCCUUCGGGUUGUAAACCCCUUUCAGGAGGGAAGAAAUUGACGGUACCUCCAGAAGAAGGACCGGCCAACUACGUG
This 472-nucleotide ribosomal RNA is filed under the name uncultured Actinomycetes bacterium. RNAcentral describes it as "bacterial SSU rRNA". It matches the Rfam family "Bacterial small subunit ribosomal RNA", at positions 28 to 507 of the family's 1533-position model. Lineage: Bacteria; Bacillati; Actinomycetota; Actinomycetes. The record is from RNAcentral.